This 800-nucleotide ribosomal RNA is filed under the name Corallococcus coralloides. RNAcentral describes it as "bacterial SSU rRNA". It matches the Rfam family "Bacterial small subunit ribosomal RNA", at positions 51 to 831 of the family's 1533-position model. The record is from RNAcentral. Lineage: Bacteria; Pseudomonadati; Myxococcota; Myxococcia; Myxococcales; Myxococcaceae.
ACACAUGCAAGUCGAGCGCGAAUAGGGGCAACCCUUAGUAGAGCGGCGCACGGGUGCGUAACACGUGGAUAAUCUGCCUGGAUGCCUGGGAUAACCAGUCGAAAGAUUGGCUAAUACCGGAUAAGCCCACGGUCUCCUCGGAGACUGAGGGAAAAGGUGGCCUCUGUAUACAAGCUAUCACAACCAGAUGAGUCCGCGGCCCAUCAGCUAGUUGGCGGGGUAAUGGCCCACCAAGGCAACGACGGGUAGCUGGUCUGAGAGGACGAUCAGCCACACUGGAACUGAGACACGGUCCAGACUCCUACGGGAGGCAGCAGUGGGGAAUUUUGCGCAAUGGGCGAAAGCCUGACGCAGCAACGCCGCGUGUGUGAUGAAGGUCUUUGGAUUGUAAAGCACUUUCGACCGGGACGAAACCGUAAAGCCUAAUACGCUUUGCCUUGACGGUACCGGGAGAAGAAGCACCGGCUAACUCUGUGCCAGCAGCCGCGGUAAUACAGAGGGUGCAAGCGUUGUUCGGAAUUAUUGGGCGUAAAGCGCGUGUAGGCGGCUUUGCAAGUCGGGUGUGAAAGCCCUCAGCUCAACUGAGGAAGUGCGCCCGAAACUGCAGAGCUUGAGUGCCGGAGAGGGUGGCGGAAUUCCCCAAGUAGAGGUGAAAUUCGUAGAUAUGGGGAGGAACACCGGUGGCGAAGGCGGCCACCUGGACGGUAACUGACGCUGAGACGCGAAAGCGUGGGUAGCAAACAGGAUUAGAUACCCUGGUAGUCCACGCCGUAAACGAUGAGAACUAGGUGUCGUGGGAG